RNAcentral lists this ribosomal RNA (233 nucleotides) under uncultured bacterium. RNAcentral describes it as "partial 16S ribosomal RNA". It matches the Rfam family "Bacterial small subunit ribosomal RNA", at positions 100 to 334 of the family's 1533-position model. The record is from RNAcentral.
CGGGACGGGUGAGUAAUGUCUGGGAAACUGCCUGAUGGAGGGGGAUAACUACUGGUAACGGUAGCUAAUACCGCAUAACGUCGCAAGACCAAAGAGGGGGACCUUCGGGCCUCUUGCCAUCGGAUGUGCCCAGAUGGGAUUAGCUAGUAGGUGGGGUAACGGCUCACCUAGGCGACGAUCCCUAGCUGGUCUGAGAGGAUGACCAGCCACACUGGAACUGAGACACGGUCCAG